Molecule: ribosomal RNA, 324 nt
Filed under: uncultured eukaryote
Lineage: Eukaryota
Description: partial 18S ribosomal RNA
Rfam family: Eukaryotic small subunit ribosomal RNA
Source: RNAcentral
CCCUUAGAUGUUCUGGGCUGCACGCGCGCUACACUGAAGCUAUCAACACGUUUUCCCUCCCUGAGAAGGGCGGGUAACCUUUUGAAUCAGCUUCGUGGUAGGGAUCGGGGCUUGCAAUUGUUCCCCGUGAACCAGGAAUUCCUAGUAGACGCGAGUCAUAAGCUCGCAUCGAUUAAAUCCCUGCCCUUUGUACACACCGCCCGUCGCUACUACCGAUUGAACGUUUUAGUGAGGCAUUUGGACCGACGCAUCUCAGUUUAACCGCUGGUUUGUGUUGGAAAGACUUCCAAACUUGAGCGUUUAGAGGAAGUAAAAGUCGUAACA